GGGGCGGCGGGGCGGGGCGGGGCGGGGGCAGAGCUGAGGGCGGCGGGGAGGGGCGCCUGGGACUGCUCCUCCGGCGGCCGUGGGGCUCAGCGCCGGCCGUGCCUCCCUCCAGCCCGCGGGGACCCCUGGAGGGGCCGGGCCAGCGGGUGGCGGGAAGGAGCCCGGAGGUUUCCGGGGCGGGCCCGCGCCACCGCCCACACCCGGCGGUUCAGGGAAAUUCAAAUGUCAACGUCCAACAGCCACACGCAAACCCAGAGAGGCCCGGAGGGCCGCGGGCGUCGUAAUGUUCUCCCCGCCCUGCCGAGGGGCUCAGAAACGGCCUGGAGGCCUGGCGGCUGUGAGUGAGGAGACUGGCGCUGGUGUCCGAGGUGCAAAAUCCACUGCGUGUCGGUUCCAAGUGCAAGCCUUUCUUUUUCUCUGCGAUGGAAAAGGGUGUAUCAAACCUCCUCCCGGUCAAAUUGAUACGGUCCGCGGGUCUUGAAGACGACAGAUAAAGACCACAGAAAAACCAGAAGCCCUGACUUUGGAUCGUUUGCUGCCAAUGCUGAUGGGCGGUCCCUGAUCCGUUUUUUAACAAUUUAGAGAUUUAGAAAAUCAAAACCACCUCACAAGUGAUAUGAUUAGCAUGUGACUGAGUAAACAGCACAAGCUUUUAAUUGUCAUGCUUCACUAAAAUCCGAUGCAUGAAAAUCUAAACCUGUGAAAAUUUAAGUAGAAAUGACUUUUGCUUUAAAAAGGGAUCCCCUAAAAUCUAAUCGACAACUAGUCCUAACAGAAUACCCAUUAAUCCCGUUGAAAAGGUUUUUAUUUAGGCUAACGUUUAUUGGAAUUUACUAGUGCCGUGCACUGGGCUUUUCGUGGCUUAUCCGUUCACGCAGCCCCUCUGUGGUGUGGGAACUGGAUUAUUUCCAUUUGAAAAUUCAUCCAUUUUAAAGUUGAAUUUCCUUAAGGCCGCCCGGCAGGCGACAGGACUGCGUUUGAACGCAAGCGGUUUCAAUUGACUCCAGAGCCUCGCCCUUAACUAUAACCUAGAAGGCGGGCUCACAACAUAUUAGGAACGCGUAUGUAGAGUAAUUACAGGUUAGUUACCUUAAUAAUGGCAGAAAUGAAGAGCAGGAUGUUCUUUAAAUAGUAAUCAAGUCAUGUACAUAAGAAUGAGUGCGUUAGUGAAGGGCACCGGCUCUAGCAUCCUCUGUGAAUUUCUGGGCACUCUUAUGAGUGAUGAUACCCUCCUUGUUAAUGUUCUGUUUCCUGCCCUGUUAUCUAAAAUAGCUCCUUCCUUAACCUCGCUGAGAAUUAAAGACUUGAAAAGCUUCUAUUUUGAAGUUGGUGUUAGGAAUUUCUAAGUAAGUAUUCAGAUAAUUUUAAUAACUUAAAAGGAUCUUGAAAAUCCAGAUUACUCGUGAAAUGAGGCCUGAAGAAAGUGAGUGCUGGAUCCAAGGGGAUGGAAUCGGGAUUGGAAUGUAAAUCCGCUUUCCUUGAUGCCCUUUCUGCUAGCUGAUGGUUUGGUUUCCGUUCGGUACUCCCCUCACCACAGACUUUUAAAAAGUAUUUGGAAAUUUUCUUUUUAAAUUAUUUUGUGUCCAUUUUUGAAGUUUUAAGACUGUAUGUGAAGUGAUUUUGGGCAUGAUCUCUACUGUUCUCAACCCCAUGAAGCUUUCUCUUGAUAGAGUCCUUCCAUCUUGGAUUCUUUUAGGAGACUCAGAUUAUAUCCUAUUAUCUGAAACAACAAAUACAUUGAGUCGGGUAGUUGAGGAUUGCCAUUGCGAGCUGUGUAACUUUAUGGAAGUUAUUCCUUGGUUUCCUCAUAGGAAAAUGGGGAUGAUGAUGAUUCCUACCUUGCAGGGGGUUUGUAAAGAUUAAAUAAAAUAAUACAUGUAAUGUGUUAGACAUAUAAUACGUGAUGCUAAAUAGUAAUUCUUCCCUAGUAGUAAUCACGGGUCUCCAAUCAAAAGCAAUGAAAACAUGGAAAAUCUCUUGGCCUUAGAAUUAGGCAACUGUGCAAAAUUUUUUUUUUUUUUGAGGAAGAUUAGCCUUGAACUAACUACUGCCUAUUCUCCUCUUUUUGCUGAGGAAGACUGGCCCUGAGCUAACAUCUGUGCCCAUCUUCCUCUACUUUAUAUGUGGGACGCCUACCACAGCAUGGGUGCCAACCCGUGCCAUGUCUGCACCCAGGAUCCGAACCAGCGAACCCCAGGCUGCCAAAGCGGAACGUGCACAUUUAACCACUGCACCACUGGGCUGGCCCCAACUGUGCAAAUCUUCAGUCAGGUUUGUCCAGCCCUCUUCAUUUAAAUAAGUCCUGAAAUCCUGUCACCACCGAUGUUUCCCUCAAUGAUUUAGAAGAGAAGUGACAAAUACUAUUUAAGUUUGGUGACAAUGCUUCUGCGUUUCUGAGGACAAUCGUGAUUUCAAAUAUCCUGUUUUUCUACAGACCUUCCCUUACUUGUCAAGGCACAUGUCCUGAUUACUGGUUAGGCCGUCUAGAUCCCCACCAAGCCUCCACUUGCCAUGCCAUCCUUUCCCCCUUUGAUGCUCCUCCCGCAGCACCCUGCUACCUUGCUCGAUCCGGGACAGAACUUAUUUGACAUUUGCCCUACUUUCUGUAUGUUAUUUCCAUCUGGGACAGAAAAAUAACAAGAUACCUAUCAGAUCUGGGUAGAAGGGGCCCAGACUCCGAUGGGGGUGGGGAGGCAGAGAAGGGGAAGGAGAGACUGAAAGCUAGCAGUAAGCCACUUUUGUCCCAGGAGAGGUGAGUGACAGCUGGCAGCUAGCUGAGUAUACAGUGCAAACAGAUGAAUAGCUACGGCUGCGGUACAAAAUGAGGAAAAAUAUGGCUAAGUACUAUCUCUUCAAUAGAUGUUUGCUGAAUAUAUGAAUGAAAAAAUUAAUCCAUGGUUUUCUACUAGGCUAGGUUGUUUCUAUUCAAUACACUUUAAUACUUUUCCCAGUUAUCAUAAAAGUGUAAGAAUAAAUUAUGUUUCAUAAGUUGCAAAUCCCUUCCAGCUCUGAUUUUGAUUUUUGUGUUUUAAAAAGAGCUUAAGAGUUUUAAAGGCAUAUUUAUCAUCUUCAAUAGGAUUGUUCUCUUAGCAUAGCCACAUGAAGUUUAUAUACUGCUCAAAAUUAUUUUCCAAAUUGCUUGUUAAGAUCUGGAUAUUUGGCGGCAAUAGGAUUGGCAGAGUUAUUUUAACUUAGUGGUUCCGUCUUACUGAUGGCUUAUGAUUUAGUCAAAAAGAGGACCAAUUUGCACUCUUACACUUUAGUUUUAUUUUAUGUCAAAAUAUGGUCAUAACACUACAACACUUUUCUUCAAAUUAUUUUUAAAAGAUAUCUUUAAAGCAUUUCUUAAACUAAGUAUUUCUUAAACUAGUAUUUUUGCAUCUCAUUUUAACAGGUUUUUUUUUUUUUAAUCUUACAGAGGUAUGCCCCUUCAUCCUUUAUUCUGCAUCUUUGCCUUGAGAGAGAUAAAAGUAAAAUAAGACUGGAGUCAAAGUGUAAGGUUUACACAUAAUUCAGCUCUUUCUGCUCUGAUUGGCACUGGCCCUGCUCAAAGAGUUAAGGGCUUUCCCUUUUUGUGACCAGUCUUUGGUUAGCCACUUUAUUUAUCUUGAUGUCUGGCUUAUCCUUACCCAAUAGCAUUUUAAUUUAUUCGUUUACUUCUGAGACUAUAGAGGUGAGACUUUUCUCACCUAAUCUAUCUUCCCUGCAAGUCUCCCUCUCUCAUUUUGCCUGAAAUUUCCACACAAGACCUAGUCUUUGGGGUCAACACAGAAAAGUAAAGGCACUGUUUCCAGACCCCACAGCUGAAUUCAAGAAAGCAGAGGAAAAAGGAAAAUACAAUAUUUGCAUAGUUGAUAUGGUACAAUAAAAG
Molecule: long non-coding RNA, 3871 nt
Organism: Equus asinus (donkey)
Lineage: Eukaryota; Metazoa; Chordata; Mammalia; Perissodactyla; Equidae
Source: Ensembl